Molecule: RNA transcript, 1614 nt
Organism: Manihot esculenta (cassava)
Lineage: Eukaryota; Viridiplantae; Streptophyta; Magnoliopsida; Malpighiales; Euphorbiaceae
Gene name: protein PELOTA 1
Exons: 16
Source: RefSeq, a predicted model, not a curated record
UCAAUGUUUUUAACCUUACAAAACCUACCGCUACCUUAAAAAACCUCCUCCAAGCAAAGGCUUAAUCGCAAAUCUUUUCAGAGAAAGAGCUAAAACUCAAGUUUCUAGUAUCUCCGAUUCUAUGAAGAUCACACGAAGAAACCUCGUGCCGGACGGCCCCGGUAGUGUCAAGAUGACGCCAGUCGAUUCAGAUGAUCUUUGGUUCGUUUAUAAUUUGAUAUCUCCGGGUGAUUCGGUUAUGGCGGAUACUGUCAGGAAAGUUUUGAGAGAGGCGGCGUCCGGUGGGAGAGAUGCUGAAAGAGUGAGGCUGAAGUUGGAAAUAAAAGUUGAGACUGUAGAUUAUGAUAAAGUUGGGGCUGCCUUGCGAAUUCGCGGAAAGAAUAUUUUGGAGAAUGAAUAUGUAAAGAUUGGAGCAUUUCACACUUUAGAGUUAGAGCUGCAACGCCCUUUUGUUUUGAGAAAGGAAGUUUGGGACUCAAUGGCAUUAGAUGUACUCAAUCAAGCCUCUGAUCCCGGUGCAAGUGCUGAUCUUGCUGUGGUUUUAAUGCAAGAAGGACUUGCACACAUCUUACUUGUCGGUAAAAGCGUGACAACUACUCGAUCAAGGAUAGAGACUUCAAUUCCUCGAAAGCAUGGCCCUGCCAUUGCUGGUUAUGAAUCGGCAUUGAAUAAGUUCUUUGAGCAUGUUUUACAGGCUUUCCUAAAGCAUAUUGAUUUCAGUGUCAUUCGGUGUGCGGUGAUUGCAAGCCCUGGUUUCACUAAGGAUCAGUUUCAUCGUCACUUAUUGUUGGAGGCAGAGAGGAGACAGCUGAGACCCAUUAUUGAGAACAAGUCACGCAUAGUGCUCGUGCAUACAAGCUCAGGAUAUAAGCAUAGCUUGAGGGAGGUUCUUGAUGCCCCAAAUGUUAUGAACAUGAUUAAAGACACUAAGGCAGCACAAGAGGUUCGAGCACUCGAGGAUUUCUUUAACAUGCUUUCAAAUGUCAGGAUCCAGCUCGUGCAUGCUAUGGACCAAAGCAUGUAGAGGUUGCCCAUGAACGCAUGGCUGUCCAAACUCUUCUCAUCACAGAUGAUCUUUUCAGAAAUGCCGAUAUACCAACGAGGCAGAAGUACAUCAAUCUAGUCAACUCAGUGAAGGGUUCAGGGGGCACUGCUCAUAUAUUUUCAUCAAUGCAUGUCUCAGGGGAGCAAUUGGCGCAAUUGACCGGCAUUGCUGCCAUACUUCGAUUUCCGCUGCCAGACCUGGAAGACAUUGAGAUGUAAAUGCACAGAGCUUGCUUUGGUGUAGUGGACUGGGACUGGGACUGGGACGAGGAUGUGCCGUGGAAGGAUUGGUCUAUAUACUAAUUCUGCCUGUUGCCAUCAGCAUGUUGUACUAUAUUUAACAGAUGCAUUAAUAUUAUACCCAAUGCAGAUAAAUUUUACCAAAAUAAUUUGUGGGUAGAUUGAUUCAUUAAUAAACUAGGGCAUUUGUACAACAGCCUGCCCCCCCUCCUAAUUAUUUCCUCUCCCCUUGUUUAAAUUUGUCUGCUAAGGUGAUAGGCCGACGUUGUAUAUGUGAAGGGGUGGUGGUCGUUAAUAUUUUAAAAUUUACAUAAUUUUUUCUGUUUCUAA